This 358-nucleotide unclassified non-coding RNA is filed under the name soil metagenome. Its description in RNAcentral is "partial contains 5.8S ribosomal RNA, internal transcribed spacer 2, and large subunit ribosomal RNA". The stretch from base 1 to 120 matches the Rfam family "5.8S ribosomal RNA", at positions 35 to 154 of the family's 154-position model. The record is from RNAcentral.
GAUGAAGAACGUAGCGAAAUGCGAUAAGUAAUGUGAAUUGCAGAAUUCAGUGAAUCAUCGAAUCUUUGAACGCACAUUGCGCCCGUCAGUAUUCUGGCGGGCAUGCCUGUUCGGGCGUCAUUACGCCCCUCAAGUCCCCUGUGGACUUGGUGUUGGGGAUCGGCGAGGCUGGUUUUCCAGCACAGCCGUCCCUUAAAUUAAUUGGCGGUCUCGCCGUGGCCCUCCUCUGCGCAGUAGUAAAACACUCGCAACAGGAGCCCGGCGCGGUCCACUGCCGUAAAACCCCCCAACUUUUUAUAGUUGACCUCGAAUCAGGUAGGACUACCCGCUGAACUUAAGCAUAUCAAUAAGCGGAGGA